UUUCCGUAGGUGAACCUGCGGAAGGAUCAUUGUCGAAACCUGCAAAGCAGACCGUGAACACGUGUUUAACUCAUCCCCCGCCGCCGAUCGGCGUGCGGGCUAACGAACCCCGGGCGCGGAAAGCGCCAAGGAAAACUGUACGUAGCGUCGGCCCCCCAUCCCGUUCGCGGGUCGUGCGGGGGAUGCGGACGUCUAUCGAAUGUCAAAACGACUCUCGGCAACGGAUAUCUCGGCUCUCGCAUCGAUGAAGAACGUAGCGAAAUGCGAUACUUGGUGUGAAUUGCAGAAUCCCGUGAACCAUCGAGUCUUUGAACGCAAGUUGCGCCCGAAGCCAUUAGGCCGAGGGCACGUCUGCCUGGGCGUCACGCAUCGCGUCGCCCCCCCUCCCCGCGCGCCGCGCUCGGGACGGGGGGGCGGAUAUUGGCCUCCCGUGCGCCCCGGUGCGCGGCCGGCCCAAAUGCGAUCCCCCGGCGACCCGCGUCGCGACAAGUGGUGGUUGAAACAUCUCAAUCUCGCGUCUCGUCGCGCUUCCGGGUCGUCCGAGCGGGCUCCAAAAAUGACCCAAUGGUGCGGCCGUUACGCCGCGCCCUCGACCGCGACCCCAGGUCAGGCGGGAUCACCCGCUGAGUUUAA
Molecule: ribosomal RNA, 633 nt
Filed under: Ocimum gratissimum
Lineage: Eukaryota; Viridiplantae; Streptophyta; Magnoliopsida; Lamiales; Lamiaceae
Description: eukaryotic LSU rRNA
Rfam family: 5.8S ribosomal RNA (bases 210-365)
Source: RNAcentral